UACAUGUCAUGGCAUACAUUAUAGAACCCAUUAGCAAGGUAUAUAAAAUUCUACUCAUACGCUCUCUCUCUCUUGAGGGGUUGUCAGACAAUCCUUCUUCGAGAGAGAAAUUCUAUGACCUAUCGAAAGAUAGCUUUUCUUGAAAUUCUCCAUACUGAACUGUUUCAGCAUAGUAUCUAUGUACAUAGAUUGUGAGAGUCCGAGCAGUCUC
This 211-nucleotide long non-coding RNA is filed under the name Elaeis guineensis (African oil palm). Its description in RNAcentral is "long non-coding RNA (EGUI_LNC044313)". Lineage: Eukaryota; Viridiplantae; Streptophyta; Magnoliopsida; Arecales; Arecaceae. The record is from RNAcentral.